GACGUAGGAUGCGAGCGUUAUUCGGAUUUAUUGGGCGUAAAGCGUGCGUAAGCGGCUGUUUAAGUCUGGUGUUAAAGCUAGGGGCUCAACCCCUGUGGUGCAUCGGAUACUGGGCAGCUUGAGUGCGGUAGGGGAAGGUGGAAUUCCGAGUGUAGCGGUGAAAUGCGUAGAUAUUCGGAAGAACACCGGUGGCGAAGGCGACCUUCUGGGCCGCAACUGACGCUGAGGCACGAAAGCCUGGGGAGCGAACGGG
Molecule: ribosomal RNA, 253 nt
Filed under: uncultured prokaryote
Description: partial 16S ribosomal RNA
Rfam family: Bacterial small subunit ribosomal RNA
Source: RNAcentral